GGAGGGAUGACCGAGUGGUUGAAGGUGCACGAUUCGAAAUCGUGUGACCCUUAUGGGUCCGGGGGUUCGAAUCCCUCUCCCUCCG
RNAcentral lists this transfer RNA (85 nucleotides) under Caldifarciminota bacterium. RNAcentral describes it as "candidate division WOR-3 bacterium (hot springs metagenome) tRNA-Ser". It matches the Rfam family "tRNA". From Rfam's summary of the family: Transfer RNA (tRNA) molecules are approximately 80 nucleotides in length. Lineage: Bacteria; Pseudomonadati; Caldifarciminota. The record is from RNAcentral.